This 253-nucleotide ribosomal RNA is filed under the name uncultured bacterium. Its description in RNAcentral is "partial 16S ribosomal RNA". It matches the Rfam family "Bacterial small subunit ribosomal RNA", at positions 524 to 776 of the family's 1533-position model. The record is from RNAcentral.
GACAGAGGAUGCAAGCGUUAGCCGGAAUGAUUGGGCGUAAAGCGUCUGUAGGUGGCUUAAAAAGUCUCCUGUCAAAGAUCAGGGCUUAACGCUGGGCCGGCAGGAGAAACUCUUAGGCUAGAGUUUGGUAGGGGCAGAGGGAAUUCCCGGUGGAGCGGUGAAAUGCGUAGAGAUCGGGAGGAACGCCAAAGGCGAAAGCACUCUGCUGGGCCACAACUGACACUGAGAGAAGAAAGCUAGGGUAGCAAAAGGG